UUUGUUCUUUCAACAUUGCAGCAGAUCGAACUUGUUGCACACAAGUUUAUCCAAUCGUGUUGUGCCAUACAAGGGAGAUGGCUUACCAGAUUUGUCACGAGUUCGAGAGAUUUAGUAUGUACUUACAUGAUCUCAAGGUUACUAUCUUUUAUGGUGGUGUUGGGAAAGCAACAUGGGAACUGAGCUUGGAUGGUAUUUUUGGCACUGGAAGAGGCUCCACUAUUGUUGUAACGAAGUUGUUUAAUAUAGUUGAGCCUAAUGUUGUUGUGAUAUUGAGGAGUGCCAAUCAGGAAAAGCUAGAGGAAAUGCUAGCAGCGUCUUUUAUGCAAAGAAAUUAACUAGAGGAAAUGUUGACUGUAAGCUAUUUGAUGAAAUGCUUGAGAGAGUGUUAAAACUUGUUUAUAGACUUGGGAGCUGACAACUUAUGUGGUGUGUCUAUUUUGAUUAUGCUAUUGUGGCUGUUGUGGUGCGUACUACAAUGCGGAGGUGUAAGAGUGGAAAUUGUGGACAUUUGGCUUAGGUGGCUUUAUCAAAUGGGACACAUCAGAUGAUAAUGUUGAUAUGGCUUUGAGUUUGUAUGAUCGAGCAAGAAUUGAAAAGGGGCACAUUGACCCAAUGACAUUCUCGACAUUGAUUAAAGUGUGUUGUGACUGGAACAAUGAUGACGAGUUGGAAGUUAAUGACUUGUCUUUAUCUUGUUGUUCAAGCUUGACACCAAAUGGAAAGGCUAUUGUGGGGAGGCAUGCUCAACUGCUGGUUGUUCCAACUCCAAGUUGAUUGACCACUUCAUUGGGAUGAGAUUCUCUAAAAGGAUGGUCCCAUACAAGAUUGUUAGGGGUCCAAAUGAAGAUGGCCAUAUUUUUGAGCUCCCAAGUAUUCAGAAGGUAAUUAUUUUUCCUGGUAGAAAGCUGGACUAUGAAAUGACUGCUGUGGGAAGCUAAAAGACACGCAGAAUUGCAUUACAACUAUUGAAUUUGCUACAGAAAAUCCUUGGAUUUGCUCAAUUUAAAAUUGGGUUUUCUGAAGAUCAAAGGGAAAAUAGAAGUUUGUAAGUACUUGUUGGGGAAAUUGAAACUCGAUGAUGAUACACAAGCUGAAGAUGGUGAGACUACUCUUAUUCAUGCAUGUACUCCUCUAAUUUGGGUUGCUGAUCAAAGAAGAAAAGUGGUAGCGGGGUCAUUGUCAUCUUUAUAGUCGUCAAUGCAGGAAGGUGCUAAAAUGAAUAUAGGCAUUGGUGGAGCAAAUCCUUUGCAUAUUGCUUUCGAUAAUGGGAGCUUAGAGACCUGCCUUCUUGCUGAGAAUUUUAGGGAAAAUAAUAUUUCGGAGCUCUUCAAAGAAAAGGAAGUGGCUCAAAGUAAGUAGUGAGCUGCUACAGAGAUGGAGCUAGAGAAAGAGAGGAAGUUUCUAUCCAUGCUUAUAAAUUAACAGAGGCCUAUAAAACUAUAAAGGCACUUGAAGAUUGGAGACUGUUAUUUCUUUUGUUGCAUUUACUUAAUUGGGCCAGACCGAGUGUAGGCCCAGAACUAUGUAUUUUCCUUAGGUUUGUUGCUUAAUGUUUAUUUGAGGGCCCUUUCCAUGACCUUAGUUGUUUCCGUAGGAUUCUUAUGAGGGUAGAGGUACCCAACGAUAUUCUGUGUAAGGCAUUCUGGAAUUCUGUUAGAGCAAUGGCAUCGGCUUAGCAAAAUGUGAAAAUAAAAA
Long non-coding RNA from Juglans regia (Persian walnut), 1698 nucleotides. RefSeq lists it as uncharacterized. The transcript is spliced from 2 exons. The record is from RefSeq and is a predicted model, not a curated record. Lineage: Eukaryota; Viridiplantae; Streptophyta; Magnoliopsida; Fagales; Juglandaceae.